This 519-nucleotide ribosomal RNA is filed under the name uncultured bacterium. RNAcentral describes it as "bacterial SSU rRNA". It matches the Rfam family "Bacterial small subunit ribosomal RNA", at positions 146 to 660 of the family's 1533-position model. The record is from RNAcentral.
GCCCGAAGACAUUCGGAUUAAUACCGCAUAUUCUCUAGGGAGAAAAGAAGGCCUCUUUACAAUGCUUUUACUAUUGGAUGAGCCUGCAUUAGAUUAUAUAGUUGGUAGGGUAAAAGCCUACCAAGGCGACGAUCUAUAGCUGGUUUUACGAGAAUGAUCAGCCACACUGGAACUAAGACACGGUCCAGACUCCUACGUGAGGCAGCAGUGAAGAAUAUUGGACAAUGGGGGAAACCCUGAUCCAGCAAUGUUGCGUGUGUGAAGAAGGUCCGAGGAUUGUAAAGCACUUUCAGUAAGCAAGAAAAGUGUAAAUCUAAUAGAUUUGCAUAUUGACCACUUAUAGAAGAAGCACCGGCUAACUCCGUGCCAGCAGCCGCGGUAAUACGGAGGGUGCGAGCGUUAAUCGGAAUUACUGGGCGUAAAGGGUAAGUAGGCGGUUUAUAAAGUCACAUGUGAAAGCCCUAGGCUUAACCUAGGAAGUGCAUGUGAUACUCAUAAACUAGGGUUUGAUAGAGGAAA